Molecule: ribosomal RNA, 1466 nt
Filed under: Synechococcus sp. AG-686-C21
Lineage: Bacteria; Bacillati; Cyanobacteriota; Cyanophyceae; Synechococcales; Synechococcaceae
Description: bacterial SSU rRNA
Rfam family: Bacterial small subunit ribosomal RNA
Source: RNAcentral
AGAGUUUGAUCCUGGCUCAGGAUGAACGCUGGCGGCGUGCUUAACACAUGCAAGUCGAACGAACCUUCGGGUUAGUGGCGGACGGGUGAGUAACGCGUGAGAAUCUGCCCUCAGGAGGGGGAUAACAGCUGGAAACGGCUGCUAAUACCCCAUAUGCCGCGAGGUGAAAUGAAUUUCGCCUGAGGAUGAGCUCGCGUCUGAUUAGCUAGUUGGUGUAGGUAAUGGCUCACCAAGGCAUCGAUCAGUAGCUGGUCUGAGAGGAUGAUCAGCCACACUGGGACUGAGACACGGCCCAGACUCCUACGGGAGGCAGCAGUGGGGAAUUUUCCGCAAUGGGCGAAAGCCUGACGGAGCAACGCCGCGUGAGGGAUGAAGGCCUCUGGGCUGUAAACCUCUUUUAUCAAGGAAGAAGAUCUGACGGUACUUGAUGAAUAAGCCACGGCUAAUUCCGUGCCAGCAGCCGCGGUAAUACGGGAGUGGCAAGCGUUAUCCGGAAUUAUUGGGCGUAAAGCGUCCGCAGGCGGCCCUUCAAGUCUGCUGUUAAAAAGUGGAGCUCAACUCCAUCAUGGCAGUGGAAACUGAGGGGCUUGAGUGUGGUAGGGGCAGAGGGAAUUCCCGGUGUAGCGGUGAAAUGCGUAGAUAUCGGGAAGAACACCAGUGGCGAAGGCGCUCUGCUGGGCCAUCACUGACGCUCAUGGACGAAAGCCAGGGGAGCGAAAGGGAUUAGAUACCCCUGUAGUCCUGGCCGUAAACGAUGAACACUAGGUGUCGGGGGAAUCGACCCCCUCGGUGUCGUAGCCAACGCGUUAAGUGUUCCGCCUGGGGAGUACGCACGCAAGUGUGAAACUCAAAGGAAUUGACGGGGGCCCGCACAAGCGGUGGAGUAUGUGGUUUAAUUCGAUGCAACGCGAAGAACCUUACCAGGGUUUGACAUCCUGCGAAUCUCUUGGAAACGAGAGAGUGCCUUCGGGAGCGCAGUGACAGGUGGUGCAUGGCUGUCGUCAGCUCGUGUCGUGAGAUGUUGGGUUAAGUCCCGCAACGAGCGCAACCCACGUCUUUAGUUGCCAGCAUUUAGUUGGGCACUCUAGAGAGACCGCCGGUGAUAAACCGGAGGAAGGUGUGGAUGACGUCAAGUCAUCAUGCCCCUUACAUCCUGGGCUACACACGUACUACAAUGCUACGGACAAAGGGCAGCAAGUUCGCGAGGACAAGCAAAUCCCAUAAACCGUGGCUCAGUUCAGAUCGUAGGCUGCAACUCGCCUACGUGAAGGAGGAAUCGCUAGUAAUCGCAGGUCAGCAUACUGCGGUGAAUACGUUCCCGGGCCUUGUACACACCGCCCGUCACACCAUGGAAGUUGGCCACGCCCGAAGCCGUUACUCCAACCCUUGUGGAGGAGGACGUCGAAGGUGGGGCUGAUGACUGGGGUGAAGUCGUAACAAGGUAUCCGUACCGGAAGGUGCGGAUG